UUGCAUAAGUUAUUAAAAACAGGAAAAGUUAACACAUCGGUCUGCUGUUGUGUUGUCACCACAGUGUCGGUGCCGCACAAUCUGAUGCUCUUGCUGUUAAAAAUAAAUGUAGCUAACUUCAGUUAAUCUGAUGCUCUUGCAUAAGCGCUGCAAGGACGUCUUAUCAUCGAUGAUGCUGUCCAUCACCAGAGUCAACCGGGUUCGUCAAACGCAGGCUCGUGCAAAAGCUUCUAUCCGCGGGUAGCAACUAGCAAGCAGUUAAUUGGAGUUUAACAAGCAGCAGUUAUCCAACGGUUUCAUUUGGAGCUUAACAGGCAGCAUUCAACAAGCAGUUUUUUUUCCGGAUGCAGUUAUCUACAGAAACAAAAAUGAUGUGGCUCGUUAGUAAAUUUGAUCUAAAUCACUAAAUGAGCUGAAUAGAUAACCAGGCCAUCAGGGGCAUUCCACACAACCCAAACUGCUCGCUCUGCUCGACAACGCCGAAAACGGCUGCUCACCUGCUGGCAG
Triticum dicoccoides is the source of this 507-nucleotide long non-coding RNA. RefSeq lists it as uncharacterized. NCBI's taxonomy places the organism in Eukaryota, Viridiplantae, Streptophyta, Magnoliopsida, Poales, Poaceae. The record is from RefSeq and is a predicted model, not a curated record. The transcript is spliced from 3 exons.